GCCCCCCCCCCGCCGAUAACUCCUCAACCGCGGGGGCCGGAACAACGUGGGCGCGCCCCCCCCACCGCCGCGGGGCCGGCUUUUGGCGGGGACGCCGUCAUCGGUGACGUCAUCGGUGACGUCAUCGGUGACGUCGUCGUCGGGGGAGGCCAAGCCCAGGGCCCCCCCCGCCACCGCCAUGGCCGCCGCCGCCUCCUCCUUGCGCUUCUGCUCCACGUCGCGGAUGAUGUCGACCACGUCGUCGGCCGGCAGGUGGAGGCGGCUGGAGAGCUCGAUCAGUUGGUCGAUGGUGCCCGGGUCCAACGGCGCGUCCGGCGCCGCCUCCUCAUCCUCAUCAUCCUCAUCUUCGUCUUCACCCCCCGGCCGCACCGCCUCCGCCAGCUCCUGGGCCAGCGGGGGGACGGCGGCGCGGUUGGGGGCAUCUUCGCGGUUGGGCGCGUUGGCGCGGUUGAAGACGUCGCCGCGGUUGGGGAUGUCGUCACGCAUGGAGAUGACAUCGCCGUGCAUCGGCAUCCCGCCACGCACGGUGUCGCCACGCAUGGGGACACCGCCGCGCGUCGGCAUCCAGCCACGCCCGGGGACGUCGCCGCGCACGGAGAUCUCGUUGGCCAUGGGGAUCUCAUUGGUCAUGGGGAUCUCAUUGGUCAUGGGGAUCUCGUUGUUCAUGGGGACCUCGUUGGCCAUGGGGACCUCGUUGGCCAUGGGGAUAUCAUUGUCCAUCGGGAUCUCAUUGUCCAUGGGGAUCUCAUUGUCCAUGAGGAACCCGUUGCCUAUGGGGAUCUCCUUGCCCAUGGGGAUCUCCUUGCCCAUGGGGAUCUCCCCACCCAUCGCCAUCUUCUUGCCCACGGGGCUCAUCUUGCCCAUGGGGACCUCGCCCAUCGGGAUCUUCUUGCCCAUGGAGAACCCUUUACCCAUCGGCGUCAUCUUCCCCACGGGGACCGCCUUGCCCAUCGGCAUCGCCUUGCCCACGGCGCUCGCCCUCCCCACUCCCCUCCCCGCUUCUCCCCCGACCUCUCCCACCUCCCCCCUUUCUUCUUCCUCCUCCUCCUCCUCCUCCUCCUCCUCCUCCUCCGACCUCUUGUCCUGGGCGGCCGCGGCGGGCCCGUGGAGGAGGUAGCGCAGCAGGAGGUCGGAGGCCAGGUCGGCCAAGCGCUCCUCCUCGGCGGCGGCCUUGCGGGCGGCCUGGGCCUGCCGCCGGCUCUCGGCCAGCUCCUGGUAGCGCCGCUCCAGCAGCCGCUGCUCCAGGCUCUGCUGCUGCCGCAGCUGCCGGGCGCUGGCCCAGCUUCGGCCUCCUCCUCCUCCUCCUCCUCGCUCCCGGUCCCGCUUGGCCUCCGCUCGCAGCCUCCCCAGCUCCUCCAGCUCCUUCAGGACUUCGUCCGGCGGCGAGGAAGAGGAGGAGGAAGAGGAGGAGGAGGAGGAAGGGAUUUGGGGAGGGGGGAAAAAGGGGCCGGGGAGGCGAGGGGAGGGGUGGGGGCGGCUUUGGGCCAGGAGGGUGAUGGAGAGGAGGAGGGCGGCGCUGCGCAACGGGCGGGCGGGGGGGGGCAUGGUGCCUGGGGGGGCAAAAAAAUAGAGGGGGGGGUGUCAGGGGGCACGGGACCCCCUCCCCGCUCCCUUAAUUCCCCUCCCCUCUCCCUUAAUUCCUCCUCCCCCCCUUCAUCCCCCUCCUCUCUCCCUGUGCUGGGGCCAGGGGUCACAGGACACCCCCCCCAUGUGUUAUGGACCCCCCCAUGUGUUAGGGACCCCUCCCCCAAAAUGGGUUUUCCAAAGUGUCCCCCAUGUCCCCAAAGUGCCCCCCCACAAAACUCCCCCCCAACCCCCCCCAAUGGAUCCCCAAGUACCAGGAGCCCCCCCCCCCCAUUGGGGUACCCCAAGUGUCCCCAAGGUGUUUCCCCCCCCCAGCUGCCUCCCUCAAAUUGCCCCCUCCGAAUUCCCCCCCCCCAAAGGUACCCAGCAGGGUCCCCGCGCUCCCCCCGCACAUGCUGGCACCCAUGGGUGCCCCCCCACCCCCUGUGCCAGGACCCUCCCCCGCGUCUCACACGCAGCACACGCAGCACACACAAUGCUCAGCAUGUACAACAUGCUACACGUACAGCAGCACAUGCAAUGUACAUACAAUGUACAUGCGUUCUACAUACAACGCACAUGCAAUGCACACAGCACAUGCAAUGUACAUACAAUGCAUGCAGCACGUGCAAUCACAUGCAAUGUACAUGCAAUGCACGCACGAUGCACGCAGCACAUACAAUGCAGCACUCACAACAUGCAAGCACAUACAACAUGUAAAGGACAUGCAUGUACAGCACAUACAUGGACACGCAUGGCACAUACGUGGACACAGCACAUACAUGGACACACACAGCACAUAUAUGGACACACACAGCACAUACAUGGACACACACAGCACAUACGUGACUACAGCACACCACUUAUAACGCACAGCACACACAUGCAAUGCACACACGAUGCGCAGCACAUGCUUACACACACACAGGACAUACAUGUACAUACACUGCGCAUCCAUAAACACACCCAGCACAUACAUGGACGUGCUCUUCAUGCAUGUACACUCAAGGCACAUCCAUGUACAUGCAAUAUCCAUGCAUACAAACACAUGUACACACACAGCACAUACAUGUACACACACUACAUGCAUGUACGCACCCAGCACAUCCAUUUACACACCCAGCACAUACAUGUACACGCACUACACAUACAUGUACAUGCAUAUACACACACAGCACAUGCAUUUCCAUGCACUGCAUGCCUCUACAUGCACUGCACAUACAUGUAACUGCAAUGUACACACAUAGACAUGAAUGUACAUGCAUGUACACGCACAGCACACACAUGUACACUCGCAGCACAUACAUGUACAUGCAGAACAUGCAUAUACACGCACCACACACACCUGUAACUGCACUGCACAUACAUGUACAUGCGCUGCACAUACAUGCACAUGCAAUACAUGCAUCUACAUGCACCGCACACGCAUGUACAGCCGAUACAUGCAUCCACACGCAUCCACACACAUCACACCCACGCACACGUCACACGCAGCCCACGCGUGCCGCAGGGCCGGGACACGCCGCCCACCCCCGGUUAGGGCUGGCGGGGGGGGGGACACCCGCAGCCGCCCCCUCCCCGUUUUAACCCCAUGGGGGGGGGGAUUUACCGGUUCCCGGGGGGGUCGCUACGGUCCCGGGGCGCCCCCCGUUCCCUCCCCGGGCCGGGGGCGGCGGCUCCCGGGGGUUCCCGGGGGUGGGUCCCGGGGGUCGAUCCCGGUGCCCGGUCUCAGGGGCGGAUCCCGGUCCCUGUUGAGGAUCCCGGUGCCGGUGGAGGGUCCCGGUCCCGGUGCCCGGUGCCCAGGGGCGGAUCCAGGUCCGGUCCCGGUGCCCGGUGGCAGAUCCCGGUGCCGGUGCCCAGUAGUGGAUGCCGGUCCCGGUGCCCGGUUGCGGAUCUCGGUCCCGGUUGCAGAGCCCGGUCCCGGUGCCCGGUGCCCGGUCCCGGUUCCCAGUCGCGGAUCCCGGUGCCGGUCCCGGUGCCUGCUCCCGGUGCCGGUCCCGGUGUCGGAUCCCGGUGCCCGGUCCCGGUCCCGGUCCCGGUCCCGGUCCCGGUGCCGGCUCCUCCCGUUCAGGACCGCGGACAGCGGCGCCGCCGCCUUUAUACCCGCGCCCGGCCCCACGUGACCUCCAUUGACGUCAGAGCCCAUUCAUAAAAUCCGGCCGGGGCUGGGAAGGGGGGGGCGCGCGGUGCGCAUGCGCAGCUCCCCCCUCCCCCCUCCCCCCCGGGAACGGCGGCGGCAUGAAUGGGCGCGGGAUGAAUGGGGCGGGGGGGGCGGGAGAGGGAGGGGGAGGAACGGAGGGACCUACACACGGCCCUAUACACACGGCCCUAUAUAAACAGCCCUGCGCACGGCCCUAUAUGUACCCGGCCCUAUAUAAACAGCCCUACAGACGGCCCUAUAUACACACGGCCCUAUAUAAAUAGCCCUACCCACGGCCCUAUAUACACACGGCCCUAUAUAUACACCCCCGCACACGGCCCUAUAUGUACACACCCCUAUACACGGCCCUACACACAGACCCUUAUAUACGGCCCUAUAUGCAUAUCCCUAUACACACACCCCCCUACACGCACCCCUGUACACACGGCCCCAUACGCACCCCUAUACACAUACACACGGCCCUAUAUGGACCCCUGUACACACAGCCCUAUAUACACACUGCCCCUAUACACACCUCUGCACGCACACUGCCCUAUACAAACACCCUAUAUACCCCCCCCCAUACACACACACACGCCCCUAUACACACCCAGUCCCCUAUACAAACACCAUAUACACCCACCCCUAUACGCCCCCACACCCCUAUACAUACACCUACGCUCCUAUAGAUGCGCAUACCCCUAUAGAC
Molecule: long non-coding RNA, 4412 nt
Filed under: Cairina moschata (Muscovy duck)
Lineage: Eukaryota; Metazoa; Chordata; Aves; Anseriformes; Anatidae
Description: domestica (muscovy Duck (domestic type)) lncRNA (ENSCMMG00000013621.1)
Source: RNAcentral